RNAcentral lists this ribosomal RNA (253 nucleotides) under uncultured bacterium. RNAcentral describes it as "partial 16S ribosomal RNA". It matches the Rfam family "Bacterial small subunit ribosomal RNA", at positions 524 to 776 of the family's 1533-position model. The record is from RNAcentral.
UACGGAGGGUCCAAGCGUUAUCCGGAUUUAUUGGGUUUAAAGGGUCCGUAGGCGGAUUUUUAAGUCAGUGGUGAAAGCCUGCAGCUUAACUGUAGAAUUGCCAUUGAUACUGGAAAUCUUGAAUUCAGUUGAAGUUAGCGGAAUGUGUCAUGUAGCGGUGAAAUGCAUAGAUAUGACACAGAACACCGAUUGCGAAGGCAGCUAACUAAGUUGACAUUGACGCUGAGGGACGAAAGCGUGGGUAGCGAACAGG